AGUGAACGCUGGCGGUAGGCCUAACACAUGCAAGUCGAACGGCAGCACAGAGGAGCUUGCUCCUUGGGUGGCGAGUGGCGGACGGGUGAGGAAUACAUCGGAAUCUACUCUGUCGUGGGGGAUAACGUAGGGAAACUUACGCUAAUACCGCAUACGACCUACGGGUGAAAGCAGGGGAUCUUCGGACCUUGCGCGAUUGAGUGAGCCGAUGUCGGAUUAGCUAGUUGGCGGGGUAAAGGCCCACCAAGGCGACGAUCCGUAGCUGGUCUGAGAGGAUGAUCAGCCACACUGGAACUGAGACACGGUCCAGACUCCUACGGGAGGCAGCAGUGGGGAAUAUUGGACAAUGGGCGCAAGCCUGAUCCAGCCAUACCGCGCGGGUGAAGAAGGCCUUCGGGUUGAAAAGCCCUUUUGUUGGGAAAGAAAUCCAUCUGGUUAAUACCCGGGUGGGAUGACGGUACCCAAAGAAUAAGCACCGGCUAACUUCGUGCCAGCCGCCGCCGUAA
This 506-nucleotide ribosomal RNA is filed under the name uncultured bacterium. Its description in RNAcentral is "partial 16S ribosomal RNA". It matches the Rfam family "Bacterial small subunit ribosomal RNA", at positions 29 to 523 of the family's 1533-position model. The record is from RNAcentral.